GGAGGAUCUUUAUUACCCGCAUCCUUUUGUUCAAGAUUUGAUGUGGGAUAGUCUCUACAUAUGUACCGAGCCUCUAUUGACUCGUUGGCCUUUCAACAAGUUGAGAAAUAAAGCUCUUGAAGUUACCAUGAAACACAUACACUAUGAAGACGAGAAUAGUCGAUACAUCACCAUGGGAUGUGUGGAAAAAGUAUUGAGUAUGCUCGCUUGUUGGGUUGAGGAUCCCAAUGGCGAUCAUUUCAAAAAACAUCUUGCUAGGAUCCCAGAUUUUUUAUGGGUAGCUGAAGACGGAAUGAAAAUGCAGGGUUGUGGUAGUCAAUCAUGGGAUGCUAGUCUUGCUAUUCAAGCGCUAUUGGCCAGUGAGAUGAAUGAUGAGAUAUCAGAUACUCUUAAAAAUGGACACGACUUUAUAAAACAAUCUCAGGUGAAGGACAAUCCUUCUGGUGAUUUUAAAGUGAUGUAUCGGCAUAUCUCAAAAGGAUCAUGGGCUUUUGCAGAUCAAGAUCUCGGAUGGCAAGUAUCUGAUUGCACUGCCGAAGCGUUAAAGUGCUGCCUUCUCUUCUCUACAAUGCCUCCUGAAAUAGUUGGUGAGGCAAUGG
Molecule: unclassified non-coding RNA, 599 nt
Filed under: Hevea brasiliensis (rubber tree)
Lineage: Eukaryota; Viridiplantae; Streptophyta; Magnoliopsida; Malpighiales; Euphorbiaceae
Source: RNAcentral